This 464-nucleotide ribosomal RNA is filed under the name Stenotrophomonas sp. K9. RNAcentral describes it as "bacterial SSU rRNA". It matches the Rfam family "Bacterial small subunit ribosomal RNA", at positions 107 to 567 of the family's 1533-position model. The record is from RNAcentral. Lineage: Bacteria; Pseudomonadati; Pseudomonadota; Gammaproteobacteria; Lysobacterales; Lysobacteraceae.
UGAGGAAUACAUCGGAAUCUACCUUUUCGUGGGGGAUAACGUAGGGAAACUUACGCUAAUACCGCAUACGACCUUCGGGUGAAAGCAGGGGACCUUCGGGCCUUGCGCGGAUAGAUGAGCCGAUGUCGGAUUAGCUAGUUGGCGGGGUAAAGGCCCACCAAGGCGACGAUCCGUAGCUGGUCUGAGAGGAUGAUCAGCCACACUGGAACUGAGACACGGUCCAGACUCCUACGGGAGGCAGCAGUGGGGAAUAUUGGACAAUGGGCGCAAGCCUGAUCCAGCCAUACCGCGUGGGUGAAGAAGGCCUUCGGGUUGUAAAGCCCUUUUGUUGGGAAAGAAAAGCAGUCGGCUAAUACCCGAUUGUUCUGACGGUACCCAAAGAAUAAGCACCGGCUAACUUCGUGCCAGCAGCCGCGGUAAUACGAAGGGUGCAAGCGUUACUCGGAAUUACUGGGCGUAAAGCG